Molecule: ribosomal RNA, 468 nt
Filed under: uncultured bacterium
Lineage: Bacteria
Description: partial 16S ribosomal RNA
Rfam family: Bacterial small subunit ribosomal RNA
Source: RNAcentral
GACGAACGCUGGCGGCGUGCUUAACACAUGCAAGUCGAACGGAAAGGCCCUGCUUUUGUGGGGUGCUCGAUUGGCGAACGGGUGAGUAACACGUGAGUAACCUGCCCUUGACUUUGGGAUAACUUCAGGAAACUGGGGCUAAUACCGGAUAGGAGCUCCUGCUGCAUGUUGGGGGUUGGAAAGUUUCGGCGGUUGGGGAUGGACUCGCGGCUUAUCAGCUUGUUGGUGGGGUAGUGGCUUACCAAGGCUUUGACGGGUAGCCGGCCUGAGAGGGUGACCGGCCACAUUGGGACUGAGAUACGGCCCAGACUCCUACGGGAGGCAGCAGUGGGGAAUAUUGCACAAUGGGCGGAAGCCUGAUGCAGCAACGCCGCGUGCGGGAUGACGGCCUUCGGGUUGUAAACCGCUUUCGCCUGUGACGAAGCGUGAGUGACGGUAAUGGGUAAAGAAGCACCGGCUAACUACGUG